UACGGAGGGUGCAAGCGUUAAUCGGAAUUACUGGGCGUAAAGCGCGCGUAGGCGGCUUUGCAAGUCGAGUGUGAAAUCCCCAGGCUCAACCUGGGAACUGCAUUCGAGACUGCAUAGCUAGAGUAUGGGAGAGGGAAGUGGAAUUUCAGGUGUAGCGGUGAAAUGCGUAGAUAUCUGAAGGAACAUCAGUGGCGAAAGCGACUUCCUGGACCAAUACUGACGCUCAUGUGCGAAAGCGUGGGGAGCAAACAGG
RNAcentral lists this ribosomal RNA (253 nucleotides) under uncultured bacterium. RNAcentral describes it as "partial 16S ribosomal RNA". It matches the Rfam family "Bacterial small subunit ribosomal RNA", at positions 524 to 776 of the family's 1533-position model. The record is from RNAcentral.